Long non-coding RNA from Homarus americanus (American lobster), 2756 nucleotides. RefSeq lists it as uncharacterized. NCBI's taxonomy places the organism in Eukaryota, Metazoa, Arthropoda, Malacostraca, Decapoda, Nephropidae. The transcript has 2 exons. The record is from RefSeq and is a predicted model, not a curated record.
GGUCUUAGGGUUUCAUGUCAUUAAAGAUGGAAUUCUUAAACAAAGAGAUCACCAAUUUUCCCUCAUUAUAGAUAAGACCACUACUCAGUCAACAAAAUCUCAGUUAGCACUAAUUGGAACAUACUUUGAUCAAGUGGAAUACAAAACCAGUUAUGUGUUAAUUGACUUGAUUGAAAUGCCAGAUGGUAAGGCUAGCACUACCUAUGCAAAAUGUUAUUGGUUUCUGUCCAGAUACAUGCAACACAAUGUUUGGGAAAAACCAUUCGGUGUCACAACUACUGGUGAGCAAUUGCUCAUGGAUACUGCCAGUAAAAUAUUCUUGUCACUUGAUUAACUUGUGCUCUUCUCAUGCAUCGUUGAUGCUUCCAAAAGCAUUAGAGGAUCUGUGCAGAAACAUUUACUCACAUUUCCAUGUAUCUUCACAGAGGUGUGAUGCACUGAAAGAAUUCCAGGACUUUCUAUAUAUUGAUAGGCAUCAAAUCUUAUGAGCUGGACUCACUCGCUAGCUGUCAAUGAAGGCUUGUGUUGACAGGAUAUUAGAGCAAUAUGAUGCAUUACAGCUUUAUUUUCAGAAUGCUGCAUUUGAGUAUCCCACAAACACAAAUGACAGCAUUUUGAGAAAGCUCAGUAACAAAUUUACCAGAGCUUACCUUGAAUUCAUGUCCUUUAACCUUGGUGGAUUGGUUUCAUUCAAAUUAUUCUUUCAAAGUGACAUGCCAUUGUUGCACUUACUUAAAAAAGAAGUGUCUGGUCUGAUAUCAGCAUUGUGCUCAGAUUUCAUGCAGUACUCAUAUCUUAGAUAGACUGAUAUUGAGCAGCCCUAUGUUCCUCUGAGCAAAGUUUACAUUGGCAUUGCAGCAACAGAUACUUUGAACAGCAUAACUAAAGACAUAGGAGAGAGCCACCCUGAUGUACAAUUGUUUCUCACUCAUUGCAGGGAAUUCCUAAUUGAAUGUGUGCAGCAGAUUCAUUUGAGGUUCAAUGAUCUUGAAAAGUUUGACUUCCUUGAAUGUCUGUCUCCUUCCACUGCAUGCAACAAGAAAGUGCCAUCUUUGCUGCAUUUAUUAAAAUAAAUGCCAUAUCUUAAAGACAUUGUUGAUGUACAAACUUUGGACAAUGAAUGGAGGCAGCAUGCUAUGUACCCUAAUAUUGCUAGUGAUAUGAACAUUCAAGAUUAUUGACUCCUCAUCUUCAGGCUAAAACAUGCUGUAGGAAACCAGAUGUAUCCUAAUUUGUCUAAAGUAAUAUCUGUGCUUUUUUCCUUCCCAUUCUCUAAUGCUUCUGUUGAAAGAGUUUUUAGUCAGCUUAAGCAUAUCAAGAGAGAUCACAGAGGAGCUCCAAAGCAUGAGAGUCUUCUAUGUCUUAUGACAUCAAAACUGUGGUUGCAGCAAAGGGGGAGCUGUAUGGCUGCAACCUUAGAUCCUCCCAAAGAGAUGCUUAAGCUUCAUUCGAGUAUGGUAGAAAAUGUAGAUGAUGAAGAAGCAGCUAAUUUGCGUAAGAAAUUUAUUGAGGAAAUACGUAGAGAGGUCAAAGUGUGAGAUAAUUACUGCCAUUAGGAAUACAAAUUAAUUAAACUCUUCAUGCCUAUUCUUCUUUUCAUUGCACCUUUUACCAAAUGUACUUUUGCAUAGGUAUGUAUAUCUAGAACACCAGAAAAAUAUGAUAGUACCAUGGUGUAAAGGCAGGGGGUAAAUACUGCUAUUUACUGUGGCUGGAAGCAUUUGGCAUCUUUUUUCUAAGCUAUUUUGCCAAUGUUACGAUUUGUCUCGGUACUGAAAAAAUUGUAAGGGGGGACCUUUACGUGUUUUUUCACCUGAUGAUUAAUGCUCCAAUGCUACCUUGAGAGUUAAAAUGUUCAUAUUGUGGUGGCUAAUCUUCAGGUUAUCCAAAUCUUGAAUAAAUUCGCUACAAGUAAACCUCUAUCUACGAUGUCCCAACCUAUGAUAAUCCACGUUAAAGAUGCUGAUAAAUAUUUGUCAUCCCAACAACUCACUAAGUUGGUAUAUGGAACGCAUGACUCGCUUCCUUUGUCAGAUGAAUUGUGAUCUACCCAAACGCCAACUCGUAACCAUCUGGUGAACAAGUCCAGCCGUUGUUUUUUCUUGGUUACAUGUGUGUACUGUGGGGGAGAGUGGUGGAUGCGGUGGAUGAACAUCUCCAGGAGGGCGUGCAGGAUGCUCCACACGUGGCUCUUGAACACUAUUGGCAGGUGGUUCACUGUGAAUGUGGAAUAGGAUCAUAUAACCCAACGUUGAUUCUGGCCGGCCAAUAGUGUGCUAGAGUAAUGGAACAGACCCGUCCCGACCACUCACCUAUGAACGUCUUGACACCGAUGCUCUCGAUGCUCUCAAUCUCCGUGUAGACCAGAAGCCUCGUGUAUGUCUCGAUGAGUGCCGGAGUCAGUGCCACCCCCUCCCCACGACUCGUGCUGAGCUUGUUUUUGUAAGUGCUGUAAAAAAAAAGUAUGUUUGGUUAGAUUUAGUUAGGUUAGGUUGGGUUAGGUUAGGUUAGGUUAGGUUGGGUGUGGUUAAGUUGGGUUAGGAUAGGUUAGAUUAGGUUAGGGUACCUCAUAUUGAAUAUCAUUAUGCAACGUGGUCAGCUGUUUGGACUAUAAGCAAAAGAGCCAUAAUAUAUAUAUUAAUUUAACCUAAACUACUACAUUAUUAUUAUUAUUAUUAUUAUUUUAUGAAUUGUGUUCUUAUAUGACAUGUGAGAGGUCAUCAUUAUUAAGGACGAAUAAACACAGUAGAAUUAAU